Molecule: ribosomal RNA, 253 nt
Filed under: uncultured bacterium
Lineage: Bacteria
Description: partial 16S ribosomal RNA
Rfam family: Bacterial small subunit ribosomal RNA
Source: RNAcentral
UACGUAGGGUGCGAGCGUUGUCCGGAAUUAUUGGGCGUAAAGAGCUUGUAGGCGGUCUGUCGCGUCUGCUGUGAAAAUCCGGGGCUCAACCCCGGACUUGCAGUGGGUACGGGCAGACUAGAGUGUGGUAGGGGAGACAGGAAUUCCUGGUGUAGCGGUGAAAUGCGCAGAUAUCAGGAGGAACACCGAUGGCGAAGGCAGGUCUCUGGGCCACUACUGACGCUGAGAAGCGAAAGCAUGGGGAGCGAACAGG